This 301-nucleotide ribosomal RNA is filed under the name uncultured bacterium. RNAcentral describes it as "partial 16S ribosomal RNA". It matches the Rfam family "Bacterial small subunit ribosomal RNA", at positions 509 to 809 of the family's 1533-position model. The record is from RNAcentral.
CAGCAGCCGCGGGAAUACAGAGGGUGCAAGCGUUAAUCGGACUUACUGGGCGUAAAGGGCGCGUAGGUGGUUAUGUAAGUGAGAUGUGAAAUCCCCGGGCUCAACCUGGGAACUGCAUCUUAUACUGCGUAGCUGGAGUGCAGUAGAGGGUAGUGGAAUUUCCGGUGUAGCGGUGAAAUGCGUAGAUAUCGGAAGGAACACCAGUGGCGAAGGCGGCUACCUGGACUGACACUGACACUGAGGCGCGAAAGCGUGGGGAGCAAACAGGAUUAGAUACCCCAGUAGUCCCUGUCUCUUAUAU